UGAUUAUAAACAGUUAUAGCCAAGCAUUCAUUGUGACGUCGCUUUUUGAUCCUUCGAUGUCGGCUCUUCCUAUCAUUGUGAAGCCAAAUUCACCAAGCGUUGGAUUGUUCACCCACUAAGGAAGCGCCAACUCUGACUGUCACUGAAUCAGGUAAAGGAUGAAACCAGAUGUAUAGCUGUCCAAAGUUCUCUACAAACAUCAGGAGCCUGAGAAAGAGGAUAUCAUUCAGGAGGAAAGAUCUAGAGGGGAAUAAGUUCAUUGGUUCCAUGUGGAUACAGACCUUGAAGCAAUUGAUACCAAUUGAGAAAGAGAGGUUCUAGAUCCUGAACAGGAUUUGGAUUUGGAGAUCUCGGCUGUGCACAGGGGAGUCAUCUAAUGGCAAACAAGCAAUGCCAACUACGGCUGGUUCAUUCUGCAAGCAACCCAAGGGGUAUGAAGACAUGUGUGUGCAAGCUCUUAAAUCAAAGUCCUUCAAUUCAGAUAAGUGACUGAUGUGUGUAGCGACCAUUCCUGAGUAAAUUCAAAAGCAGCAUUUGAAGGCUUUAAAACUCUGGAUCAAAUGCCAAGUAAGCUGUGCAAAGCAGCCAUGGAAAAUGAUGAAAACCUACUACAAUGCAUUCCCACUGGAGCCGGCAUACAACUUGAGUCUAGCCAGCAGGGUCCAGUGCUGACUCUCAGUCGGAAUGCUCCAGUUUGGUUACUUCAGGAGCUGUGCCAGAGGAGGAUAAACAGAAACAAAUGUGAAAUAGUCUGUCCUCCAGUGCUAGCUUGGAGUCCUUUUCCUCACCUUCUCAUGGUGAAACAGGCUGACAGCAUCGUGUGGGUCCAGGCACACAAAGCACAGUCACAAAAUGCACAGAUAUAAGACGUUGGCAAACCUGCUGAGCUUCUCCAGUAUUCUCUGUGUUUGUUUCAGUGGCAAAAGAAGACACCCCUGAGCAACAAACAAGGAAUUGCAUCCAGGAACAAAAUUAUGGGAUGAUCCUGUAAAAGACACAUACUUGGACACCACAUUUGAUAAUGAUUUUGUGAAACAUGUUGGGAUGUGUUACAACAUUAAAGCAGUACAAUCUAUUGCUGUUAUAUUCUGUCAGUAUGACACAUACAGAACCCGAGGAUGGUGUCUGGGACCUCAACGGACCAAGUGUUCUUUGUUUCCAGGAAUUUCAUUCAUGUCUUGAAAGGAGCAGAACCUCAUCCCUUAACAAGGCAAACAAUGAGAUAGUCAGAAAUAUGGAUCCACAUGCAAGGAUCCCACAGCAUUCUCAA
Non-coding RNA from Chiloscyllium plagiosum (whitespotted bambooshark), 1270 nucleotides. NCBI's taxonomy places the organism in Eukaryota, Metazoa, Chordata, Chondrichthyes, Orectolobiformes, Hemiscylliidae. The record is from RefSeq and is a predicted model, not a curated record.